RNAcentral lists this long non-coding RNA (1990 nucleotides) under Salmo salar (Atlantic salmon). RNAcentral's name for it is "lncRNA (ENSSSAG00000083026.1)". Lineage: Eukaryota; Metazoa; Chordata; Actinopteri; Salmoniformes; Salmonidae. The record is from RNAcentral.
UGGAUCCAUUCUCCAGGACGAUAAAAAAAAGAUACCGCUGAUCUGACAGUUGCUCCGGCAUGUAGGCUAAGCAUUGACGAGAGAUAACCGGUAUGCCCCCCUCAAAAAACGAAAUAGGGUUUUCAGAAAAGGAAAGAAAGGAAACAGAGACCGCAAAAUUAUGGAGAAAAAAAAUUACUCAAUACGUUUUUUUUCUGGGAAGGAUUUUAGUGGUAAGUCAGUGCAGACGGCCUGUCGAACUGAGUAGCCUAGCUAGCCAAUAUAGCUAGAUUGAUAUCGUGGACUCACUCGGCUCGGUCAGAGCAGUAAUUAUUAACAUGAUGACGAUGAUAGCUACCAGCUAUGGCUAACUAAUUAGAUAUUAUAGCUGUAUUCCCCAAUAUUUGCUUGAUAUUUGUUAGCUAGUUAGACUAAAAUAAAAACCUAACAUGUAGCCUACCUAUCCAUACUGUAGAUGUUACUACUACUAACGUUACCGCUGUAGGCAAAGAUCCCAACGUGUCUACUACAUGAAGUUGAAACAGCAGACCUUGGAGUGCCUAGAGAGCCCCAGGUAGGCAGAAUCUCAGCAGAAAGCUGUCAGACAGACUGAUGCAGGAAGAGGAGUUAAAGAGUAGCAGCAGUGCCAGUGAAGGAGUGACAGAAGAGACUGAACAAGCAAGUAAUAAGGGAAAGGAAGAGUAUGGACAGAUUCAAAGUGAGGAAGAUUAGAUUUUAAAUGAUCCAGCACUGUGGCCAGAGAAAUUACAAGACCAUGAAAGAGAAGCUAUUGUUUGCAGACUAGCCAACAGGUGUGGUGAGGAGACAGAACUGUAUAAAAUCAUGCCCCCAGAUUCAGAAGGCAAGCCAUUCCCCAACUAUUUACAGUACAGUAAGUCAGCAAACGGAACAGAAAAGGUGCAGAGAGACUGGCUUUUUUAUAUUGAGUGUAAAGGCAUUAUAUUGCAUUCCAUGUGUUCUUUUUUCUCAUGAGCAAAGUAAACCAUCACCCAGUUCUCUGAAUAGUAAGGAUGGCUAUAAGAUAUCAUCAGUGAAAUGGUGGAGAAUGUAUGACAAACUACCAGAGCAUGAGGAUGGUGUCUCACAAGAACUGUUACUUGAAAUGGAAAAAUCUGCAGCAUACCGUAACAACAGGUAUAGACAGUCAGCUGCAGUAACAAAUUCAGUCAGAAAUGUAUAAAAACAGAGCACUUCUAGAAAGGAUUUUGGAUGUGACACUGUACUUAGCAUCUAGGAAUCUGCCAUUCUGGGGGAAUUCCCUCAAUCUUGAUGACGUGCAUAAUGGACAUUACCUGGAUUUACUGGAACUGUUGUCAAAUUAUGACCUGCUAUUAUGUGAGCACGACAUAAAGAAAGGAGCAUGACUGACUCAUUACCUCAGCCCUGAGAGCCAAAACGUGUUCAUAGGAAUAUGUGGUCAAAGGGUUUGGAAAACAAUACUUUAAUAGAUUGCAUCUUCUCUUUCAUACUCGGUUAUAUGUGAUGCAACUCCAGACAUUUCCCAUACUGAGCAAAAUGUACACUGCUCAAAAAAAUAAAGGGAACACUUAAACAACACAAUGUAACUCCAAGUCAAUCACACUUCUGUGAAAUCAAACUGUCCACUUAGGAAGCAACACUGAUUGACAAUAAAUUGCACAUGCUGUUGUGCAAAUGGAAUAGACAACAGGUGGAAAUUAUAGGCAAUUAGCAAGACACCCCCAAUAAAGGAGUGGUUCUGUAGGUGGGGACCACAGACCACUUCUCAGUUCCUAUGUUUCCUGGCUGAUGUUUUGGUCACUUUUGAAUGCUGGCAGUGCUUUCACUCUAGUGGUAGCAUGAGACGGAGUCUACAACCCACACAAGUGGCUCAGGUAGUGCAGCUUAUCCAGGAUGGCACAUCAAUGCGAGCUGUGGCAAGAAGUUUUGCUGUGUCUGUCAGUGUAGUGUCCAGAGCAUGGAGGCGCUACCAGGAGAUGUGGAGGAGGCCGUAGGAGGGCAACAACCCAGC